Vidua macroura (Pin-tailed whydah) is the source of this 217-nucleotide long non-coding RNA. RefSeq lists it as uncharacterized. Lineage: Eukaryota; Metazoa; Chordata; Aves; Passeriformes; Viduidae. The record is from RefSeq and is a predicted model, not a curated record. The transcript is spliced from 3 exons.
GUCACACGACAUUGCUGCCCGCAGGCUGGCCUGGGACCAGGGGCCAGGGACCAUAAUCUUUGUGCCUGUGAAUAAUAAGAAAGGUCUCUUUGAAAAGGCAAGUAAUUCCGUUAAAAUGGGCACCCAAGACAGAUGAGCAUCUUCUCCAGGAUUUUGGAAGGAGUGAGACUACCAACAUCACUGAAUCACCUCUUGUGUUACAAACAGCAAUGACGAA